This 377-nucleotide ribosomal RNA is filed under the name uncultured bacterium. RNAcentral's name for it is "bacterial SSU rRNA". It matches the Rfam family "Bacterial small subunit ribosomal RNA", at positions 521 to 896 of the family's 1533-position model. The record is from RNAcentral.
UAAUACGUAGGAGGCAAGCGUUAUCCGGAUUUAUUGGGCGUAAAGAGCGCGUAGGCGGCCUAUUAAGUCAGUUGUGAAAGCUCCUGGCUCAACUGGGAGAGGUCAAUUGAUACUGGUGGGCUUGAGGGCAGCAGAGGGAGGUGGAAUUCCCGGUGUAGCGGUGAAAUGCGUAGAGAUCGGGAGGAACACCAGUGGCGAAGGCGGCCUCCUGGGCUGUUUCUGACGCUGAGGCGCGAAAGCGUGGGGAGCAAACAGGAUUAGAUACCCUGGUAGUCCACGCUGUAAACGAUGGACACUAGGUAUGGGGAGUAUCGACCCUCUCCGUGCCGAAGUUAACGCUAUAAGUGUCCCGCCUGGGGAGUACGGCCGCAAGGCUA